AUGAGCAUUAUGGCAUAAUGGAUAUAUGCAUAUUAGCAUGUGAGGAAAGUGUGAGAUGAAUACAUGAUGAGCAUAAUGUAGAAAUGCAUGUUAACAUUAUGAAAUGCUGGAUGAGAGAUUCAUAUAGAAAUGAAUGAUAAUGAAUGCAAGCUGAUAAAUGCAUGUUGGUAAAUGCUAAGUAAGUGCAUAUAAGCAUGUCAUGAUGAAAUGCUAGAUGAAUAGAUGCAUGUAACUAACGCUAAGAGAAUGCAUUUGGGCAUAAUGGAUAGAGGCAUGUCGAUGAAUGCAAGUAGAUAAUGCAUGUUAUAGAAAUGUUAGCUAAGCUGCAUGAUUACAUGACGAGCAUAAUGUAGAUAAUGCAUGUUAUAGAAAUGCUAACUAAGUGCAUGAUUACAUGAUGAGCAUUGUGAGGAUAUGCUUGAUUCAGAUGAGUCAAACAUAGGUUGAACAGAAAUGACAUGAACCUAGUGUUAGAGAACAUAGGUCGGGUCUGAACGACAGUGAACCUAAAGUCAUGAACAUAGGUUGAACGUGAAUGACAGGGAACCUAGUGUCGUGAACCUAGGAAAGAUCGAGUAGCAUCUAACCUAGUGUCAAAGAACAUAGGUUAGACAUCAAGUGGCAUUAAACCUAGUGUCUUGAACAUAGGUUGAAUAAGUAUAGUGUGAACCUAGUGUCAUGUAUGUUAGGACACUUAUGGUAUUUGAGCAUAUUUAUAUUUGUAGUCAUGCAUUAUAGGGUGUUUGGCAUUGUGCGAGUGAAAAUGUGAAUUACUAUCAACAGUAAGAACUUGUGAACCUUAGAAUGUGGACAUAGAACCCUAUGAAUGCAUGGACUAUAACAAUAGUGAACUUGGUGACAUUCUAACUAGAGAUUUGGUUAGCAUCGAGCAUAAAGAGCUAGUUAGAGUUCAAUUGUGGCAUGGCCAGUUAUUGAAUCCUCUAAAGGAGGAUUGGAUCUUACUCACAUAGUCUGUUUUUAGCUUGGUGGAGGUCGCUCCCCCCAGGCAGUGAGCUCCGGAGUUGUCACACGAUGGGCUAACGUACUUGCCCUUGGACUAACGUACUUGUCCAGCAGACGGUCCCUAGGGUGGUUCGAGUCCCCCGUUAUUAAGGGAUUUUGGGUUGUGAGUUAUUGGGGUUAACAAGUGUUAACCGGUAAGAUUGGGUAAAAGCCAAAGUGAUUGGGAAAAAGCAUGCAUUAUGAGCUAUAGAUUGGGUAUCCUUGUCGAGUGGAUUUUGGGGCUGAGGUGUAUGUGAGACGUCCAUUACCUCGAGUCUGGAUGUAUGCGGUAUUCCGCAGAUGAUUGACUCAAGACCGAGUCGGAUGGAUAGCUUUGUUAAGGUAAUAGAAACCUUAAAGCUAGUGGCAAAGGCAAGAACUAAGGUAGUAGAGACCUUAGAAACAAGUUGAGCUUGGUAAUGGAACUAAGGUAAGUAGAAACCUUAGGGGUAAAGGACUUGAGCUGAGAUUAGCCAGUGGAAUGUAGAGUCAAUGGACCUACUAGUGAAUAGUGGAUUAUAUAGAUGCAUAGUGGCAUAGAAAUGCAUGAUAUCCAUAUUGCAUAUCGUGAGGCAAUGCAAGGUUUCAUUAGUUGCAUAAUUUAGAUAUAUAUAUAUCUAUCUGUUUAUUGAACUAACCUGCAGGUUGCCUCUCUUUGACCUAUUGGUCGAGCUUUUCCCUUGGGUGGCCGUACCCACUGGGAACCAUGGAGUUGGUUCUCACCCCACGUUGUUUUGGGGUGUUACAGGUUCGCACGUGAGCG
This 1765-nucleotide long non-coding RNA is filed under the name Ananas comosus (pineapple). Its description in RNAcentral is "long non-coding RNA (ACOM_LNC013574)". Lineage: Eukaryota; Viridiplantae; Streptophyta; Magnoliopsida; Poales; Bromeliaceae. The record is from RNAcentral.